GGGGGAAUUAAUCACCGUGUGGGGUGUGUGUGGGGAGGGAACGCCUGGCAGGAGGUCACCAAACGGCUCCCGACUAUCACCGUGGGUCACGCGUCUCGGGGGCCACGGCUGUGUACACACACCCCCCCCACACACUCCACACACCCCACCAUCUUAUCCCCCUUCUGCUUUAGUGGUCCAAGUGGAGGCUAGCUCAACCUUACACUCACACACGUACACACACACACACACACACACACACACACAUACACACACACACACACACACUUGCUCACACUCAACACACCCAGUGAAUAGGGCGGUUGAGAGGACCGAAACACUGUGAAGUAGAGGCAGUGCUCCUGCGGGCAGUGUGUUGGUCUCUUCAGAGACAAGGUUGAACGCCUCUGCACAGCUGACAGAGCUUGGAGGUGGUGGAGGUUGAGGUGGAGGUGGUGGAGGAGGGGGGAGCCAGGAUGUUGAACCCCAGGAAUCAGAGACUUGCUGAAAGUUAAACGUUCUGGCCUGCUUUAUUUUUUUGCGUCUGUGGUGCCACCUGGAACCCUCGACCUCGCCGAUUUUAGCGUCGUAUUUACGAAUCGUCGUGUCCGUGCGGGAGUCGAGCGACCCGCUGAGAACGAGGAACGAAUAACCGAGAGGAAGAGGAAGUGAGGACGGAAACACAGGUGCGGUAGGAGACACUAUUUCCUCAAUACUGUUUUGAUACUGUUUGUGUGUAUGUAGGUGUCUUUGCUGGGGGUGUGUUCAUGUGAGUGUUUGCCCUUUCCUUUCCUCCUUGUGUGUGUGUGUGUGUGUGUGUGUGUGUGUGUGUGUGUGUGCGCGUGUGCACGUGUGGGUCUGGGGUUUAAUGCCAGCGGGAUAAAAAGAAGGCUUUGCAGGCGAAGGUUUGAUGUGCUGUUUGUCUUGGUUUUGCCCCUCAGCGAGCUUUCCCGGCUGCUUCUUUCGGAUUUAUCCGCCUUCCCCGGCGCUCCCCUCCUGCAGCUCCGCCAUCCCGGGAACGUUUCAUCUUCUUUGGGGAAUUUCACGCCGGUUAGUCCUUGUCAUCAGUGAACUUCGCAACGUAAUAAAAAUACCGCCGCCAUAUUUUUUUAUUCCACUACUCUUUUUUUUUUUUGAGGACAGAUCCGAGGCCGGAUUCCCUCCCGUUACCGUUUCCUGUAGUCGAGUCCGUGUGUUAUCCGGUACGCGUGGUAAAAAAAAGCCGAGGCUCCUGUGGGAGAUCGGAGACUUUUUUCGCCGUUGUGUGUCUGUCAUAUAUAUGUUUUCCUUUUUUUCCGGACGUGUUCGAGUCAUGUUUGAGUUCGAGUCAUGUUUGCCUCAACACGGAUGUGUGUUUUUAUUUUUACGCCUGGCCAUGAGUGUAUCCUUUGUGUGUGUACCUUUGACUUAUUUUUUUUGUUUCGUGUGUGUGAGCAUGGGAUUUUGAGUUUUAUAGACAUUCCUUUUGGUUUGCGUUUACUUGCGUUAUCAAAAAAAAAAAA
Molecule: long non-coding RNA, 1481 nt
Organism: Ictalurus punctatus (channel catfish)
Lineage: Eukaryota; Metazoa; Chordata; Actinopteri; Siluriformes; Ictaluridae
Source: Ensembl